UUCAGGAUGUACAACCUGGUCGAUGUAGUAAAAAUCAUUCUCAUCACCGGGUGCACAUUCGGUCA
Onchocerca ochengi is the source of this 65-nucleotide non-coding RNA. The record is from Rfam. NCBI's taxonomy places the organism in Eukaryota, Metazoa, Nematoda, Chromadorea, Rhabditida, Onchocercidae.